UACAGAGGUCUCAAGCGUUGUUCGGAUUCAUUGGGCGUAAAGGGUGCGUAGGCGGCGCGGUAAGUCGGGUGUGAAAUCUUGGAGCUUAACUCCGAAACUGCAUUCGAUACUGCCGUGCUUGAGGACUGGAGAGGAGACUGGAAUUUACGGUGUAGCGGUGGAAUGCGUAGAUAUCGUAAGGAAGACCAGUGGCGAAGGCGGGUCUCUGGACAGUUCCUGACACUGAGACACGAAGGCCAGGGGAGCAAACGGG
This 253-nucleotide ribosomal RNA is filed under the name uncultured bacterium. RNAcentral describes it as "partial 16S ribosomal RNA". It matches the Rfam family "Bacterial small subunit ribosomal RNA", at positions 524 to 776 of the family's 1533-position model. The record is from RNAcentral.